UCCAGUGUGGUGUAGUGGUUUGGGUGAUGGACUAGGACUCUGGAGGCCAGGGUUCGAAUUCCAGCUCAGACA
Molecule: non-coding RNA, 72 nt
Organism: Phrynosoma platyrhinos (Desert horned lizard)
Lineage: Eukaryota; Metazoa; Chordata; Lepidosauria; Squamata; Phrynosomatidae
Source: the annotation of a GenBank genome assembly